This 420-nucleotide ribosomal RNA is filed under the name uncultured bacterium. Its description in RNAcentral is "bacterial SSU rRNA". It matches the Rfam family "Bacterial small subunit ribosomal RNA", at positions 356 to 773 of the family's 1533-position model. The record is from RNAcentral.
GAGGAAUAUUGGUCAAUGGGUGCAAGCCUGAACCAGCCAUGCCGCGUGAAGGAUGAAGGUCCUAUGGAUUGUAAACUUCUUUUGUACGGGAAAAAACCCCUGGACGUGUCCGGGGCUGAUUGUACCGUAAGAAUAAGGAUCGGCUAACUCCGUGCCAGCAGCCGCGGUAAUACGGAGGAUCCAAGCGUUAUCCGGAUUCACUGGGUUUAAAGGGUGUGUAGGCGGAGUAUUAAGUCAGUGGUGAAAUCCUACAGCUUAACUGUAGAACUGCCAUUGAAACUGAUAUUCUUGAAUGUAGUUGAGGUAAGCGGAAUGUGUGGUGUAGCGGUGAAAUGCUUAGAUAUCACACAGAACACCGAUUGCGAAGGCAGCUUGCUAAGCUAUGAUUGACGCUGAGACACGAAAGCGUGGGGAUCAAAC